RNAcentral lists this transfer RNA (76 nucleotides) under Candidatus Roizmanbacteria bacterium CG_4_9_14_0_2_um_filter_38_17. RNAcentral describes it as "tRNA-Ala". It matches the Rfam family "tRNA". Rfam says of the family: Transfer RNA (tRNA) molecules are approximately 80 nucleotides in length. Their secondary structure includes four short double-helical elements and three loops (D, anti-codon, and T loops). RNAcentral also lists the same sequence under 2 other names. Lineage: Bacteria; Candidatus Roizmaniibacteriota. The record is from RNAcentral.
GGGCCUGUAGCUCAACUGGCAGAGCGCUUCAAUGGCAUUGAAGAGGUUGUGAGUUCGACCCUCAUCAGGUCCACCA